UAUUUUCUCAUUAAAACACACCAAAAAAGCACAAAAAGAUGAUUUCCGACACGACUCUCGCAGUUUUCAGCAACAUUUUGGGCGUUCUCUUGUUCCUGAUGGUCGUAGCGUACCAUUAUGUGACAGCCAACAGCACCGGAAGAACAUCCGUAAACAAACUGAAGUAACUCGUUUUAA
Culicoides brevitarsis is the source of this 177-nucleotide long non-coding RNA. RefSeq lists it as uncharacterized. The record is from RefSeq and is a predicted model, not a curated record. Lineage: Eukaryota; Metazoa; Arthropoda; Insecta; Diptera; Ceratopogonidae. The transcript is spliced from 3 exons.